RNAcentral lists this non-coding RNA (637 nucleotides) under Cardamine bulbosa. The record is from RNAcentral. Lineage: Eukaryota; Viridiplantae; Streptophyta; Magnoliopsida; Brassicales; Brassicaceae.
CAUAAUUCUUUUUCUCUUACUUCAGCCUAAUCUACAGAUAGGUCAUAGCUCAAAUGAUAAGAAUUGGGGAAGCAAAAAAAGAGAAAAAAAAACUCAAACUUUCUCUGUGGAAACUGAUGACAUUGAAUAAGAGAACUUGCAAAAAAAAAAGUUCCUAAAUUAAUUACAUAUAAAUCCAAAUACUUCCACUUUCCAGAUUCAAUAAGUACAAAGGUGAGUAAAAAAUCUAAGUCAGGCUUUUCUAAGCAUUCUAUGAACAGCAUUAUCGAAUCACUAGUUAAUCAAAUUUGAAACGACGUACUCAAUCAGAUGCAAUUCCAGAAACAUGUUAAAUCCUAAAAUCUCACAUAUAAGAAAUUAAUUAUUCAUUAGAGAGAUUAUAUAAACUCACGCUGGAGCUCGGAGGAAUUGGAGACAAAGACCGCCGGGAGCUAGAGGAGAGAGCUCAGCAAAAAACGAAGACAAAAAACCCUUCCAACGACGUUUUGAUUUCUAAAGGUUUUAAUUUUAAUAAUUGAAAUAAAUACGCGUGGAAAUUGAAAAGUCUUAUAAAAAAGGAGCGGGACGACAAGUCAGCUAAAACCCUUACAACAAAGCUAAAAAACGCGACCUUGAAGAAAUUUGUCCGGCGAAAGAA